AUUUUUUUUCCCUCCCCAUACCUCCUUACCAAAAACAUGUGUGUUGCGUGAAGUGCUCACACAGAUUGUCUGAUGAAAAUAAUGAGCAAACGCACCUGUUGAUGCUUUGAGUGUAGACUCUUGCUGACCCCCCCGUGCCGGGUUUAUGACCUGGUGCGGAUUUUUUCUGUCCCCAUCGUCCUUCCGCCUAGUACACUGCCCUUUCCUGCUGUAACAAGGGUUCUAAUCCCCUUGGGGAACCAAUCUGAUAAUGACUGAAAGACAUUAUCACUAAUAUCUUAAAUAUGAUUCUUCGGAGUCAUGUUUACAAUAUUGCUCUUUAGUGUCUGGAACAAGCUGAAAAUUGAAACAUGACUCUUGAACAUCUAUGACCGCCUUCAGGUGUGUCCUGAUGAAUCGAACUGUCAUUGAAUCUCUCAAAUAAUCGUUGUGAUGAAUCUGGCUUUAUUCAUUAAAGACAUCUUCGGGUUGUGAGGUUAAGCGACUAUUCGUACACGACGGAUGCCGUUAGUGAGGUUAAGCGACUAAGCGUACACGGUGGAUGCCUUGA
This 550-nucleotide unclassified non-coding RNA is filed under the name Pectobacterium brasiliense. RNAcentral's name for it is "partial contains 16S ribosomal RNA, 16S-23S ribosomal RNA intergenic spacer, and 23S ribosomal RNA". The record is from RNAcentral. Lineage: Bacteria; Pseudomonadati; Pseudomonadota; Gammaproteobacteria; Enterobacterales; Pectobacteriaceae.